This 5298-nucleotide long non-coding RNA is filed under the name Salvia miltiorrhiza (redroot sage). Its description in RNAcentral is "long non-coding RNA (SMIL_LNC007500)". The record is from RNAcentral. Lineage: Eukaryota; Viridiplantae; Streptophyta; Magnoliopsida; Lamiales; Lamiaceae.
AGCUUUUCUUUUUCCAAACAGCAAAGAGUAAUAAUACCCUGUUCCAGUAUGAAAAAUCCCAUAAAAUCACAAUAAUACAAUCUAGAAUAUGGUUUAGUUAUUUUACAAAGGAAGCCUUUUUGAGAGAUGCUUAUUAUUAUGCAUCCAAACACAACUAAGAUGUAGCGAUUCACACUUCAAAUUUACCAACGAAUUCAUAUUUGUCUGUAGAAAAACUAUUGACAACUCUUGCAGCAGAGACGCAAUACCAUAAUUUGCUGCUACAUUUACAAACAAAUAACCCAAAACCUUAAACAGAAACAUCCCACGAGGCUUGCAGCAAAGACGCAAAAUACCAUAUUGCUGCCACAUUUUUACAAAUAAAUGUCUCGAAACACACUUUGGCGAUCCCGGCUGCAGGACCCUGGCUGUUGCUUAGUUGCUGCUGCUGCCGCCACCAAAAAGGUAACCCAAAGAAGAACCUCCUCCGGGAGCAGCAUGAACCUUAGUUGAUGGUCGAUCCUGAGACAAAGCAAUGGUUCUAAACACACAAAAUGCGAAGCAUUGGACUGGACCUAGAGGAGUUGAUGGACAAAAUGAUACCAGAAACAUGACAAGUAUGCACUCACUAAUCACUACAUUAAAUCACUAACUCUCAGGCUCUGUCCUAAAUCCUAAUCAAUUCGUUGUGGAGCUUUUCUGUUUCCUCUAUCCAGUUACCUUUUGGUACAUGAUGAAUUAGUUAAGGAAAUAUACAUCCCUUAUAUAUCAAAUAUCACAAACAGCAAUUUGAAUUUAUCCUUCAUGUGAGAACUAAAAUUUGGAUGGUUGUCACCACAUGCCUACUUAGCAUUAUUGUUGUGCCGGAUGCCAAGAAUUGAACCACACAUAGUAAUCAGAUUGUAAGAGAAACACAUCAUCAUCCAAUCAAGAUAACAAAGGAAUGGAAUUGGAUAGAAUGAAAAGAAACCAAGAACUUCAUAAUGCCAAAAUACCACAAUCAAGUAACUUCAUCAAAACCCACCAAACACAUAAUCUUGUUUCACCAGAGACAUACCGUGAUAAAAUUGCAAGUACUCUGACCAUCUGCUCUGACGUAGUUGUUGGUGGUGCUACUAUGAAUCCCUGCAGGAAUCUGCUUGCUAACGUCUACUGGCUUAGGAGCGGCAUUAGGCUUUGGCGAAGGUUCUUGACUAGCAACACUACUCUCACUCGGUGCAGCUUGUGCUUUCCCCACUGCUGGUUUUGGAGCCUCACCGCUACCAAACAAGUAACCCAACGAACUCUGCCCUCCACCGCUGCUAACUCCACGACCAAUAUCUCCUAUUCGUCUAUGAUCAAAAGUUACAAGCUUAAUCUGGGCAAUGCAGAUGGGAAGUGACAAUCAGAACCUGAUCAAAUACUAAAUUUUGUAUGUCUAUGUAGAAAUUCCAAGAGAAUACAAACUAAUAGAUAGCCCUGAUUUCAACUAUGUAGAGAAUCUUAUUUCCUCCAACUUUAAUUAUCCAAACAAAUAUCAACUUUCAGUUUCUGAAACAAUAUUUUGCUUUAAUCUAAGGCUGCAGGAAACCAAUAAUCAAAAAUUAAGGAUCCCACUAUAUAAACAUCAGUAUUAACCCAAUAGGAAAUGGCUGGCAUGAGCAGCAACUUUGAACAUCAAUAAUUAUGCAGAACUUAAUUUAUUCUUCAUGAAUUUAACUAAUUGCAAUUACAACUCCAUAAAUAUGAUACAUAACACUCCACCAGAAAAUAUCAUAGCCCACAAAUCAAAUCAACAGCUAUAUACAAUUGAGCAAACAAUUCGAAAACAUAUCACGCAUCAGUAAAGUGAAAUGAGUUGGAUUCAAGAACAUACUUUUCUAAUUACCUUUCACCUUUUCUUGAUCAGAUCUACCGUAUGAAGCCAUGAAAAAUAUUAUGGAGCACGAGGAUACUGCUUCAGUCAUUUAUUGAAUCUUCCAGAGGGGAGGAGCUAGAAUUUAUUAUCGGAAGGACUUUAUCAAGUGAAGCCACUGAGUGAAGGCAUAUUUCGGAGAUAUUCCAGUCUGCAUAAACCAUUACACGCAACAAGACACAAAUGCAAAUACAUAUAAACCGGGCCACACUUUUAAAAGGAGCAUGAGUGAGGGCUAUGAUUUAUUCUGAGAUCCCUUAACUAGAUCAAAAUAACUAUAUCCACNUAGUUUACUUAUUCAAUUUUGAAUAUUGUAAUUUGUAUCUUAUAAUAUUUUUUUGUAUACAUAGAAUAAAUUCAAUUUUUAUGCAUUAUUUUGAUUGUCAAUGUGUUAGAAUUAUUGUACUUUCAUUGUAUUUCAAUUUUCAACACAAGUCAUUUAAUAAAAAAAAAGCACAAGCAUUACUUAAGAAUUAAGAUGACAUAACAAAAUAUUAUGUUAAAAAUAUAUUAAUUGUCAUGUUUAUAAAAUAUAAAUUUUCAACAAGUCAUUUAAUUUAAAAAUAUGACAUAAAAGAUAUUACAUGUUUAUAUUUUCGAUUUCAACACAUGUUUAUAUUUUAUAUUGAAAGUUGAAUUAAAAUUUUGAAAUUUCAUCACAAAUCAUUUAAUUUCAUAAAAUAUAAAUUUUCAACAAGUCAUUUAAUUUAAAAAUAUGACAUAAAAGAUAUUACAUGUUUAUAUUUUCGAUUUCAACACAUGUUUAUAAUUUAUAUUUAAAGUUGAAUUAAAAUUUUGAAAUUUCAUCACAAAUCAUUUAAUUUCAUAAAAUAUACAUUUUCAACACAAGUCAUUUAAUUUAAAAAUAUGACAUAAAUCAUUUAAUUGCAUAAAAGGAAAAAAAAUAUGACAUAAAUCAUUUAAUUUCAUCACAAUCAUUAAAUUUUCUACACAAGUCAUUUAUAUUAUAUAUUUUAAGAUUUAAGUUGAAUUAGAAUUUUGAAAUUUCAUCACAAAUCAUUUAAUUUCAUAAAAAAGAAUACAAAAAAAAAAAAUAAAAAAAAGGAAAAAGCCCGGAACCGCCGGUUCAGGGUCAGAAAACCGGCCCUUUACAUUUCAUCCGGGCCAGUUCAGGUUCGCCGGAUUCUCGACCCUGAACCGCCGGUUCGGGCCCGGAACCGACGGCACCCCUAGCGGAGGAGGAGCAGGAACAAUUCCCCAUCUCCGACGAACAUCUUCCAAGACCUCAUCAAAAUGGCGCUCAUAAUACACACACAUCAGAUCAGUGCAUCUCACGCCUGCACGGAGAGCCCAAGGGAAGUAAUGCUGGUAGAACAAAUUCCUCUGACUUUGGCUGAAUCGGUUGCCCCCCUGCAACCGAUAGGGCGCACAUGGGGAGAAGCAUCUGCUCAAAUUCUAUGACCUUAACUACAGAUCUUAUUAUCUCAGUUGAUGAUUGAUGAAUAAGCUUUUAAUGAACUCCUCCACAGGCUGUACUACUGGAGCGCCCUCGUGUCAUCUCUGCUAACGUAGGGCAUGCAUGGGACCUUCCGCCAAACACAUUUGGUGCGGCAUAUGCUAAGUUUAUGGGAUCCAGGAACUUCUCUCCUGAUGACAGACCACCUGUCAAGUUCAUGGAAACAGAAGAAAUAGCCUAUGUUGCAACACGCGCUCGUGAAGUGCACGACUUCUGGCACACCCUGUUUGACCUACCUACCAAUUUGAUUGGCGAAUCAGCAUUGAAGGUCAUAGAAUUUGAGCAGAUGCUUCUCCCCAUGUGCGCCCUAUCGGUUGCAGGGGGGCAACCGAUUCAGCCAAAGUCAGAGGAAUUUGUUCUACCAGCAUUACUUCCCUUGGGCUCUCCGUGCAGGCGUGAGAUGCACUGAUCUGACGUGUGUGUAUUAUGAGCGCCAUUUUGAUGAGGACUUCGAAGAUGUUCGUUGGAGAUGGGGAAUUGUUCCUGCUCCUCCUCCCCCGCUACGUACAGCCUGAAAUCAACACGUAGUUCUUUCCCCUUAAGAAUAAAGCAGAGAGCUUUUCUUUCCUUACAAUGUGAUAGUAGCCUUUCUGAUCUUGUAUCAUAAUUUUAUUGGCUUAUUUUUGUAACAGGAUCUGUUUUUUAGGAGAUUUCUUUUUCCAAACAGCAAAGAGUAAUAAUACCCUGUUCCAGUAUGAAAAAUCCCAUAAAAUCACAAUAAUACAAUCUAGAAUAUGGUUUAGUUAUUUUACAAAGGAAGCCUUUUUGAGAGAUGCUUAUUAUUAUGCAUCCAAACACAACUAAGAUGUAGCGAUUCACACUUCAAAUUUACCAACGAAUUCAUAUUUGUCUGUAGAAAAACUAUUGACAACUCUUGCAGCAGAGACGCAAUACCAUAAUUUGCUGCUACAUUUACAAACAAAUAACCCAAAACCUUAAACAGAAACACCCCACGAGGCUUGCAGCAAAGACGCAAAAUACCAUAUUGCUGCCACAUUUUUACAAAUAAAUGUCUCGAAACACACUUUGGCGAUCCCGGCUGCAGGACCCUGGUUGUUGCUUAGUUGCUGCUGCUGCCGCCACCAAAAAGGUAACCCAAAGAAGAACCUCCUCCGGGAGCAGCAUGAACCUUAGUUGAUGGUCGAUCCUGAGACAAAGCAAUGGUUCUAAACACACAAAAUGCGAAGCAUUGGACUGGACCUAGAGGAGUUGAUGGACAAAAUGAUACCAGAAACAUGACAAGUAUGCACUCACUAAUCACUACAUUAAAUCACUAACUCUCAGGCUCUGUCCUAAAUCCUAAUCAAUUCGUUGUGGAGCUUUUCUGUUUCCUCUAUCCAGUUACCUUUUGGUACAGUUAAGGAAAUAUACAUCCCUUAUAUAUCAAAUAUCACAAACAGCAAUUUGAAUUUAUCCUUCAUGUGAGAACUAAAAUUUGGAUGGUUGUCACCACAUGCCUACUUAGCAUUAUUGUUGUGCCGGAUGCCAAGAAUUGAACCACACAUAGUAAUCAGAUUGUAAGAGAAACACAUCAUCAUCCAAUCAAGAUAACAAAGGAAUGGAAUUGGAUAGAAUGAAAAGAAACCAAGAACUUCAUAAUGCCAAAAUACCACAAUCAAGUAACUUCAUCAAAACCCACCAAACACAUAAUCUUAUUUCACCGGAGACAUACCGUGAUAAAAUUGCAAGUACUCUGACCAUCUGCUCUGACGUAAUUGUUGGUGGUGCUACUAUGAAUCCCUGCAGGAAUCUGCUUGCUAACGUCUACUGGCUUAAGAGCGGCAUUAGGCUUUGGCGAAGGUUCUUUACUAGCAACACUACUCUCACUCGGUGCAGCUUGUGCUUUCCCCACUGCUGGUUUUGGAGCCUCACCGCUACCAAACAAGUAACCCAACGAACUCUGCCCUCCACCGCUGCUAACUCCUCGACCCAUAUCUCAUAUUCGUCU